This 2951-nucleotide ribosomal RNA is filed under the name Bryopsis plumosa. The record is from RNAcentral. Lineage: Eukaryota; Viridiplantae; Chlorophyta; Ulvophyceae; Bryopsidales; Bryopsidaceae.
AUAUUGUAAGGACGUUGAUUGUGCGUCCCUUUUAUUGCGACAGUUGGGAUUGACGCAUGCUAGUGCAGUGGCACAAGCCACCGCGCGUAAAGGGUAGGAAUGCAUGAGAAUAAACUAAAGUAAUUCUGUUUAAAAUACAAAAAAAUAAAUGUUCUUUAGAGUUUUCAUGGACGAUUAGGUUGUAUUGUCUAAUAGAUCAUAGCCGAUUAUCGUUAACUGCAUUGAGAGGUAGAGCAGUACCAGCUGUGUAGUAAGCACAGCCGAUCAUUUGAUUGCAGCAGCGCAAAACAUUUGCCAAUGAGCGAAAGCUUGAGCGAACCAAACUGGUAGGGGAAUGAAGGAGAACUCUGUAAACCCUUAAUGCUAGGGAAUAACUAGAGCGUACCUAGAGAGAAGAACGGGCUAAUGCUGGUGCCAGAAGUCUCGGUUACACCGGUCGUUCGAGCAAUAGAGAUCAUGAUUGGGCGUAAAGCGUUCUUCGGCAGGUCAUUGCUUGGUCCUUUUGGAUUAAGCGCCUGAUCCUUUUUUGGAUUGGGAGGUGACACUCGUUUGACAGCGACUAAUAGAAUUAAAAAGUCACCGAUAAAAUGGGAAUAAUUUUUUAGGAAUAUCAAUUGCGAAGGCAAUUAGUUGGGUCAAAACAGUAGCUUAGGAACGAAGGAAUGGGGAUCAAAUACCAUUAGAUACGGUAGUGUGCGACUCGUUUUACAGAAAAGUAUUAAAAAUAAUACGUACUGUAAGUAAUACACUUUGUGUUUAUAACUGUGAUUAUUUGCUGGUGAAAAACCAGACGUCGUAGGAGCCGAUGAAAAGCGUAACCCGCAUGCCUUUUAGGGUAUGAAGCCGGGUUAAACGGGAUGAACUUUCGCUAACUUGAGACAAAAACAAGGGGGGGAAGGACGAAUCUUUAGCAAAGAGCAUAUGAUUAGUCAACGAAUCUGUGAUAACGCAUCGUUAAUCUAGCUUAUACAGUUGAGGCAUGGUAUAUUACCGACCAUGUUGUUCCUUCUAAUAACUGUCGGUGUUUAGCAGAAAUCUAAGUGCUCAUAAUUUAGUAAUCACGGAACGAGGAAAUCUCAAGCUAGCAACCUUGAUAAGGAGAGGGUGUACGACCCGCUAACUUGAGAGUAGGAUGAGAUAAAAAGCGAAUGCCAAACUGUAAUAGGGUGGAUAUGCUGACGUGUCUCACGUGAAAAAAAAAAUUAUACAAAUUAAAAUUAUAAUAACAAAUAAUGCAAUAUAAAAAUAAAAAACAUUCUAUUUAUAAAGACAGAGAAAUCUUCGGACCUUAUUUAGCGGGUUUAUGGGAAGGUGAUGGCAGCAUACUUGUUAAAUCAAAAGAGCAUCUAAAACCCACUAUAAAUAUUACCUUUCAUAAAAAUCAGGGAUUUUUUGCAGAAAAAUUACUACAAAUUCUUACUGACCAAUGUAAAGAAAAGGUGGGGUCAGUUUAUUAUCAUAAAACUCGGCAAGCCUGUUAUUUAAAUAUCUAUUCUAAAGAAGGACUUUUAAACUUUAUUAAUUUAGUCAAUGGGAAACUGAGAACCCCGAAAGCUUCUCAAAUGGAUGUAGUUAUAAAUUGGCUAAUAAAACAGGGAGUCAAUAUUAAAAAGCUUCCAUUAUGCUCUGUGCCUAUUAACAAAGACGCCUGGCUUACUGGAUUUAUUGACGCCGAUGGGAGUUUUGGGAUUAGGCAAACCUUUAAAAAGGAAAAAAUAAAACAACAAACAGAAUGUGAAUUUAUACUUGUUCAGCGGAUGUACUACCCCAAAACUGGAAAAUCAUAUUUUGAAAUUUUUAGUAAAAUCGCCGAUUACUUUUGUGUAAAACUAAACACAUUAAAAGCUCGUAAUCCAAAGGCAUUAGAUCAGUAUAGAAUCAAAAUAAGUAGCGCGAAGUCUAAAAAGAUAUUGCGGGCUUAUUUAGAUAUAUUUCCUUUAUUAAGCUCAAAGUACCUUGAUUUCAAGGGCUGGUCUGAAGUUGACGAUUUAAUGAUUAAAAAGCACCACUAUACAGAUGAUGGCGCUAUAAAGAUUACUAAAAUAAAAAAGGCUAUGAAUAAUUGUAGAACAGAAUUUAAUUGGGAUCAUUUAGAUUUAUAAAUCGCAAUGUGGGUAUAUAUUUAUAUAGUAAUUAUUUUGUAUAGUUACACGAGGAGCCGUAUGAUGGGAAACUAUCACGUACGGUUUUGAAGUAAGAGUUUCGGGGAGACCCGACGCUUAUUAUAACAGUCCAUUCAGUCAACGAUGGCUUUUAUGUCUUGGCCUGUGGCCUUGAAUAAGCAAACGCGGAAAAAGCCCGCCUCAAUAGUACGAGCGCAAGCUUAAAAUUGAAACAAUUAAUGCGUGGAGAUUCAAUAUGGUGGAACAUGCGAUUUAAUUCGUCGCUACGCGCUAACCUUACGCGGUCUUGAUUAAUUACUACAGCUAUGUUAUGCUUGACUUAGUAGGUAAUUAUAGCUUUGCAUGGUCGUGGUCAGCUCGUUUUUUGUAAAGUUGGGUUAAUUCCAUAAACGAGCGAAACGCGCAGGUUUAUAUUAACUAAUUUUAGUGAAGUCUAAAGUGUACCUAUAAACUACGGCGAAAGAAAUUUUCGAGGAAGGGCGCAUCAUCACAGAUCCUCAUGAAGUUCAUGAUCGCGGCUAUACGCGUGUUACAAUUGAUAAAUCAAACAGUAGCAAUUAUGCAAAUAAGUGCAAAUCUGUAAACCUUAUCUAAACGGAUUGCAUUCUGCAACUCGAAUGCAUGAAGUAGGAAUCAUAAGUAAUCGUUUUAAAGAAUUGAAACGGUGAAAUUUGUUCAUCUCCGGCUAUUAAUAGCCCGUCAAUGCCUGGUUAACGAGUGUGCAGGAAAAGUGUAGAGUGUAUAGCUACAUUUGAUUGUAUAUUUGGUAGCCGGGCAUAAGUCGUAACACAGUAAUCGUACCGGAAGGUGCGGUUGGCGCCAUUUUUU